RNAcentral lists this ribosomal RNA (561 nucleotides) under uncultured bacterium. Its description in RNAcentral is "bacterial SSU rRNA". It matches the Rfam family "Bacterial small subunit ribosomal RNA", at positions 150 to 710 of the family's 1533-position model. The record is from RNAcentral.
CCGGAAACGGGUGCUAAUACUGGAUAUUCACUGAUCUUCGCAUGGGGGUUGGUGGAAAGGUUUGUUCUGGUGGGGGAUGGGCUCGCGGCCUAUCAGCUUGUUGGUGGGGUGAUGGCCUACCAAGGCUUUGACGGGUAGCCGGCCUGAGAGGGUGACCGGUCACAUUGGGACUGAGAUACGGCCCAGACUCCUACGGGAGGCAGCAGUGGGGAAUAUUGCACAAUGGGCGAAAGCCUGAUGCAGCGACGCCGCGUGAGGGAUGGAGGCCUUCGGGUUGUAAACCUCUUUCGCUCAUGGUCAAGCCGCGACGUGGGUUGUGGUGAGGGUAGUGGGUAAAGAAGCGCCGGCUAACUACGUGCCAGCAGCCGCGGUAAUACGUAGGGGGCAAGCGUUAUCCGGAUUUACUGGGUGUAAAGGGAGCGCAGACGGCGAAGCAAGUCUGAAGUGAAAUGCAUGGGCUCAACCCAUGAAUUGCUUUGGAAACUGUUUGGCUUGAGUGUCGGAGGGGUAAGCGGAAUUCCUAGUGUAGCGGUGAAAUGCGUAGAUAUUAGGAGGAACACC